GAUGAAGAACGUAGCGAAAUGCGAUAAGUAAUGUGAAUUGCAGAAUUCAGUGAAUCAUCGAAUCUUUGAACGCACAUUGCGCCCCUUGGUAUUCCGAGGGGCAUGCCUGUUCGAGCGUCAUUAUAACCCCUCAAGCUCGGCUUGGUGUUGGGGCCUGCCGCACGGGCAGCCCUUAAAAUCAGUGGCGGUGCCAUCUGGCUCUAAGCGUAGUAAUUCUUCUCGCUAUAGAGUCCCGGUGGAUGCUUGCCAUUAACCCCCAAUUUCGAUGGUUGACCUCGGAUCAGGUAGGGAUACCCGCUGAACUUAAGCAUAUCAAUAAGCGGAGGA
This 327-nucleotide unclassified non-coding RNA is filed under the name soil metagenome. RNAcentral's name for it is "partial contains 5.8S ribosomal RNA, internal transcribed spacer 2, and large subunit ribosomal RNA". The stretch from base 1 to 120 matches the Rfam family "5.8S ribosomal RNA", at positions 35 to 154 of the family's 154-position model. The record is from RNAcentral.